AAGGCCUUAGCUUAAUUAAAGUAUUUGUUUUGCAUGCAGAAGAUGUGAGGUAAAAUCUCGCAGGUCUUA
RNAcentral lists this transfer RNA (69 nucleotides) under Stylephorus chordatus (tube-eye). RNAcentral's name for it is "tRNA-Ala". It matches the Rfam family "tRNA". Rfam says of the family: Transfer RNA (tRNA) molecules are approximately 80 nucleotides in length. Their secondary structure includes four short double-helical elements and three loops (D, anti-codon, and T loops). The record is from RNAcentral. Lineage: Eukaryota; Metazoa; Chordata; Actinopteri; Stylephoriformes; Stylephoridae.